Molecule: ribosomal RNA, 321 nt
Filed under: uncultured beta proteobacterium
Lineage: Bacteria; Pseudomonadati; Pseudomonadota; Betaproteobacteria
Description: bacterial SSU rRNA
Rfam family: Bacterial small subunit ribosomal RNA
Source: RNAcentral
GAGUUUGAUCUUGGCUCAGAUUGAACGCUGGCGGCAUGCCUUACACAUGCAAGUACGAACGGUAACAGGUCUUCGGAUGCUGACGAGUGGCGAACGGGUGAGUAAUACAUCGGAACGUGCUCGAUCGUGGGGGAUAACGGAGCGAAAGCUUUGCUAAUACCGCAUACGAUCUACGGAUGAAAGCAGGGGACCGCAAGGCCUUGCGCGGACGGAGCGGCCGAUGGCAGAUUAGGUAGUUGGUGGGAUAAAAGCUUACCAAGCCGACCGAUCUGUAGCUGGUCUGACGAGGACGUACCAGCCACACUGGGGACUGAGACACGG